UGCAUGUCUAAGUACUUGCCGAUAACCAAGGCGAAACCGCGAAUGGCUCAUUAAAUCAGUUAUGGUUCCUUAGAUUGUUUCUGCUACUUGGAUAACUGUGGCAAUUCUAGAGCUAAUACAUGCACUAAACCUGGGCUGCCUUCGGGAUGUUCGGGUGCUUUUAUUAGACCAAGACCAAACGGGCUUCGGUCCGUGGUAUCUGUGGUGACUCUGGAUAACUUUCGCUGAUCGCACGCCUUCGGGCGGCGACGCUUCUUUCAAGUGUCUGCCUUAUCAACUGUCGAUGGUAGGUUAUGCGCCUACCAUGG
This 308-nucleotide ribosomal RNA is filed under the name Alectorobius capensis. Its description in RNAcentral is "SSU rRNA". It matches the Rfam family "Eukaryotic small subunit ribosomal RNA", at positions 52 to 349 of the family's 1831-position model. RNAcentral also lists the same sequence under 1 other name. Lineage: Eukaryota; Metazoa; Arthropoda; Arachnida; Ixodida; Argasidae. The record is from RNAcentral.